AGGUCGGAUUUGCUCCGCCCGUCCACCUUGACUCGAUCUGGAGGCCCAGUUUCCAGUGCCAAAAAGUGGAAAAACCUGCGUGGACAGUGGCCCAAAUUGCCGCGUGCCCAUUCGCAAGGCAAAUCUCUGACUUUGGCCAAUAUUCGAGUGCACCGUUAGACAGACGAUGGCGUUGCGGUCGAGGCUGCAGCUCCAAGCCACCCGGGCCAAAUUAAUUCAUGUUUUGGCCAGGCCGUCGAUAACUUUGGCCGCGCAUAUUCAUGCCAUCCAGCUGGGAUGCCUGGCUAGCUCCAUGGCAUCAUCCGAAAGGAAACUGGUUAUCUGGCUCGGGCCAAAAAAAAUGGGUCAAUCUCUUAGUAAGAACAAGUGUCAGGUUCUGUAGCAACCCACAAAAGAUGAAGUUUUCAGCGGGCGACGCAUUUCAACUCCUUUGUGCCCAGAGAAACUGGGGCAGGCGAUCUGUUCUAGUUCGAUUCUGGGGGAUUUAGCUGAAAAGCUGAAAUGUGCCACAGAUAGAUGAGCUCAUGGAGCACCAUUUACCGUAAACGGACUGGCUCCUGGCAUGCCAUAACCCAUUUGAGAUCGGACUUAGUCAAUCUCAAGUCGGCUGUCUGAUGCGGCCAGGUGCUGAACUGGAUUUGACAGCCAUUGGGACCACUUUAAAAGCAAUUCAAGAGAAGAUUACCCUCGUUGAAUAACAACUAACUUAUAGAAAUCGUCUCAUUACGAACACAAGUAGGUUGGGUAAUCUCUGAUGUGCU
Molecule: non-coding RNA, 761 nt
Organism: Drosophila melanogaster (fruit fly)
Lineage: Eukaryota; Metazoa; Arthropoda; Insecta; Diptera; Drosophilidae
Source: Ensembl